CAGCAGCCGCGGGAAUACGGAGGGUGCAAGCGUUAUCCGGAUUUACUGGGUUUAAAGGGUGCGUAGGCGGACUUGUAAGUCCGAGGUGAAAUCUCUGAGCUUAACUCGGAAACUGCCUUGGAUACUAUAGGUCUUGAAUCUCGUUGAGGUUUGCGGAAUAUGUCAUGUAGCGGUGAAAUGCUUAGAUAUGACAUAGAACACCUAUUGCGAAGGCAGCAGGCUAAACGAGUAUUGACGCUGAUGCACGAAAGCGUGGGGAUCAAACAGGAUUAGAUACCCGCGUAGUCCCUGUCUCUUAUAA
This 301-nucleotide ribosomal RNA is filed under the name uncultured bacterium. RNAcentral's name for it is "partial 16S ribosomal RNA". It matches the Rfam family "Bacterial small subunit ribosomal RNA", at positions 509 to 809 of the family's 1533-position model. The record is from RNAcentral.